This 24-nucleotide non-coding RNA is filed under the name Rattus norvegicus (Norway rat). The record is from RNAcentral. Lineage: Eukaryota; Metazoa; Chordata; Mammalia; Rodentia; Muridae.
AAGAAAUUGAGGAUGAGCCAAUAU